Molecule: long non-coding RNA, 98 nt
Organism: Thalassophryne amazonica
Lineage: Eukaryota; Metazoa; Chordata; Actinopteri; Batrachoidiformes; Batrachoididae
Exons: 3
Source: RefSeq, a predicted model, not a curated record
UGAAGCAGUGAGUUUGUGAUAGGAGGCCAAAAUUGGGGGAAUAUGCUUAAACAUUGUUCUCCUGGGCAGAACUCCAGCAGCAACAUUUUGAACCAGUU